Homo sapiens (human) is the source of this 1782-nucleotide long non-coding RNA. NCBI's taxonomy places the organism in Eukaryota, Metazoa, Chordata, Mammalia, Primates, Hominidae. The record is from Ensembl.
GCCCUUCCUCUGACUGUGUCUUGAUUUCCUAUUCUGAGAGGCUAUUGCUCAGCGGUUUCCGUGGCAACAGUAAAGCGUGGGAAUUACAGAUAAAUUAAAACUGUGGAACCCCUUUCCUCGGCUGCCGCCAAGGUGUUCGGUCCUUCCGAGGAAGCUAAGGCCGCGUUGGGGUGAGACCCUCACUUCAUCCGCUCUAAAACCAGCUCCAUCACUUGAAAUGGCAAAAUAAAUCAUGAAUGAGGCCGGGGGCUGUGGCUCACACCUGUAAUCCCAGCACUCUGGGGGGCCGAGGCAGGCAGAUCACGAGGUCAGGAGAUCGAGACCAUCCUGGCUAACAUGGUGUAAGGGAGGAGACCACCCCUCAUAUUGUCUUAUGCCCAAUUUCUGCCUCCAAAGAAAGAAAAAGUAAAAACUAAAGGGCAGAAAUGACAUCCACAAGCAGACACCCCAGGUGCCACACCCUGGGCCUGGUAGUUAAAAAUCAACCCCUGACCUGAUUGGUAUGUUAUCUAUAGAUUACAGACAUUGUAUAGAAAAGCACUGUGACAAUGCCUUUCCUGUUUUGUUCCGAUCUAGUUACUGGUGCAUGCAGCCCCCAGUCACGUACCCCCUGCUUGCUCAAUUGAUCACGACCCUCUCACGUGCACCCCCUUAGAGUUGUGAGCCCUUAAAAGGGACAGGAAUUGCUCACUCGGGGAGCUUGGCUCUUGAGACCGGAGUCUUGCCGAUGCCCCUGGCCUAAUAAACCCCUUCCUUCUUUAACUCGGUGUCUGAUAAGUUUUGUCUGCAGCUCGAUUUCUUGGUUCCCUGACUGGGAAGCGAGGUGAAUGGCGGAUGGUCAAGGCAGCUCCUUAGGCGGCUUAAACCUGCCCUGUGGAACAUCCCUGCAGGGGACUCCAACCAGCCCGAGCAACACGGAUCCUGAGGGCGCUCCUGGUUAGGCAUUUGCCCCACUGGGACGCCUCGCCAGAGCACUGUAUGGCAGGCCCCCAUGGAGGAUCAACGCAGUGGCUGAACACCGGGAAGGAACGGGCACUUGGAGUCUGGACAUCUAAAACUUGGCAGAGGACCCUGCGGCCUUCCGCAGUGUUUGUGUCCCUGGGUACUUGAGAUUAGGGAGUGGUGAUGACUCUUAACGAGCAUGCUGCCUUCAAGUAUCUGUGAUGUGAGGAGCGCCUCUGCCCGGCCGCGACCCCGUCUGGGAGGUGAGGAGCAUCUCUGCCCGGCCGCCCCGUCUGAGAAGUGAGGAGACCCUCUACCUGGCAACCGCCCCGUCUGAGAAGUGAGGAGCCCCUCCGCCUGGCAGCCACCCCGUCUGGGAAGUGAGGAGCGUCUCAGCCCGGCAGCCACCCCGUCCGGGAGGGAGAGUCAUUCUUAUAGAAGAGCAUCAGAGGAAGAUAAAAAAGAAUCCUCAAUGUCAGGCCCCUGAGCCCAAGCUAAGCCAUCAUAACCCUGUGACCUGCACAUAUACAUCCAGAUGGCCUGAAGCAACUGAAGAACCAUAAACGUGAAAUAGCCAGUUCCUGCCUUAACUGAUGACAUUCCACCAUUGUGAUUUGUUCCUGCUCCACCCUAACUGAUCAAUUGAUCUUGUGACAUUCCUUCUCCUGGACAAUGAGUCUCAGGAGCUCCUCACCAAGCACCUUGUUACCCCCACCCCUGCCCACAAGAGAAAACGCACGUUAACUGUAAUUUUUCCACUACCUACCCAAAUCCUAUAAAACUGCCCCACCCCAUCUCCUUUUGCUGACUCCAGGUGAUUAAAAAACUAUUGCUCACACA